RNAcentral lists this ribosomal RNA (253 nucleotides) under uncultured bacterium. RNAcentral's name for it is "partial 16S ribosomal RNA". It matches the Rfam family "Bacterial small subunit ribosomal RNA", at positions 524 to 776 of the family's 1533-position model. The record is from RNAcentral.
UACAGAGGGUGCGAGCGUUAAUCGGAGUUACUGGGCGUAAAGCGCACGUAGGUGGAGACGUAAGUCUGGUGUGAAAGCCCCGGGCUCAACUUGGGAUUUGCAUUCGAGACUGCAUUGCUAGAGUACGUAAGAGGAGGGCGGAAUUCCGAGUGUAGCGGUGAAAUGCGUAGAUAUCCGGAGGAACACCAGUGGCGAAGGCGCCCUACUGGUCCGGUACUGACACUGAGGUGCGAAAGCGUGGGGAGCAAACAGG